AAUGGUCCAACAAUGAUCACAUACUCUCAUCUAGGAUGGGUGGGAAUUCAGGUCUGCAUACAUUAUACAUGCGUUCCAAUUUGUACACAUUUUUGAUAUAAGGUGUGUACUCAAUUCCUACAUUCGCACAUGCAGCAAUUACAUGUGCGCAUGGGAACUGAAGUGUCUGGAAUCUCUCACAAUGACAAGUCCGUUCUGAUAGGUCAAUACGAUACGAUGCCCCUG
Molecule: long non-coding RNA, 225 nt
Filed under: Gossypium barbadense (sea-island cotton)
Lineage: Eukaryota; Viridiplantae; Streptophyta; Magnoliopsida; Malvales; Malvaceae
Description: long non-coding RNA (GBAR_LNC014822)
Source: RNAcentral